GGGUGAUUAGCUCAGCUGGGAGAGCACCUCCCUUACAAGGAGGGGGUCGGCGGUUCGAUCCCCUCAUCACCCACCA
Molecule: transfer RNA, 76 nt
Filed under: Escherichia coli
Lineage: Bacteria; Pseudomonadati; Pseudomonadota; Gammaproteobacteria; Enterobacterales; Enterobacteriaceae
Description: tRNA-Val
Rfam family: tRNA
About the family: Transfer RNA (tRNA) molecules are approximately 80 nucleotides in length. Their secondary structure includes four short double-helical elements and three loops (D, anti-codon, and T loops). Further hydrogen bonds mediate the characteristic L-shaped molecular structure. tRNAs have two regions of fundamental functional importance: the anti-codon, which is responsible for specific mRNA codon recognition, and the 3' end, to which the tRNAs corresponding amino acid is attached (by aminoacyl-tRNA synthetases). tRNAs cope with the degeneracy of the genetic code in two manners: having more than one tRNA (with a specific anti-codon) for a particular amino acid; and 'wobble' base-pairing, i.e. permitting non-standard base-pairing at the 3rd anti-codon position.
Source: RNAcentral